GACCUCAGGAUCCACCAGCAGCCCAAGACACCUCGGAAGCUGGUGCAAGGACAAGCGUCGCCUGCACAUGUCAGCACAAAUGGGAACAUGAUGAGUGAUGCUGCCUGGAGUUAAAGGAGGCCAGGAGCACCAGAAGCUGGAGGAGGCCGGAGUGGAUUCUCCCCUGGAGGCUUCCGUGGGAACAUAGGCUCCUGAUACUUCGGUUCCAUCUCUUGUUUAAAGGCACCCAGCUUCUCAUUAUUUGUUACAGCACCCUGGAAAACUCACACACAAGUGAAGCCCCAACCCAUCCCCGAAGUGCCCAUCUGAGCACCCCUCGUGGAUUCUGAGCAGGGGGUCGCCACCACCAACUCCACGUCUUGCAGCCCCUCUUCCCUUCAGUCUGGCUGCCACCUUCUUCAUUGCCCUGAAAAAAAAAUAAUGAAGUUUCACCAUUUAAAGGGUUUCAGUGCAGCUUGCUAUGGGAACACUGGAGAGUAACACAAAUGGCCAAUUGUCCUAAUAGCCACCAUGGAAUGGAUGGAUGCUAACAACAGGCUCGGAGUUCUCCAUCUGUUGCCUCCUUUUAUCCACAUGAGAAUCAAACAAGUAGGUGCUGCUGGUAUUACUGUAUUUUUCUCAUUUUAAAGGUCAGGAUGGGGAGGGUUGAGGAGGUUAAGGAAGUCAUUAGAGGUUACACUGAAGUCAAGAAAGGAAAAAGGACUUAGAAACUUGUUCUUCCAACUUUAGAACCAUGGUCAGUGACCAAGGCCCUGCUUAGAACUUUCUGAAGGUCACAGCUGGCCUUCUACCUGGAGUUUUGACUUCCUUUCUGAGAAAGGAACUUGAGUGGCAAUUACAAGAAAGUUGAGAACUUCUCUUUCAUAUUUUAAGCAUUCAUUUAUUUUUUAAAUUUAUUUUAAUUUACAAAUGCUAAUUGUAUAUAUGUAUAAGGUAAGAUAUGAUAUUUUGAUAUGGCUACCUUGUAAUUAAAUGAGUCUCAUUACCAA
Molecule: long non-coding RNA, 989 nt
Organism: Pongo pygmaeus (Bornean orangutan)
Lineage: Eukaryota; Metazoa; Chordata; Mammalia; Primates; Hominidae
Exons: 4
Source: RefSeq, a predicted model, not a curated record